This 310-nucleotide ribosomal RNA is filed under the name uncultured bacterium. RNAcentral describes it as "partial 16S ribosomal RNA". It matches the Rfam family "Bacterial small subunit ribosomal RNA", at positions 503 to 807 of the family's 1533-position model. The record is from RNAcentral.
AAGAGACAGCAGUAGCCACGGUAAUACGGAGGAUCCGAGCGUUAUCCGGAAUUAUUGGGUUUAAAGGGUGCGUAGGCGGAUAGAUAAGUCAGUGGUGAAAGACGGUGGCUCAACCAUCGCAGUGCCGUUGAUACUGUUUAUCUUGAAUAUGGAUGAGGUAGGCGGAAUGUGGCAAGUAGCGGUGAAAUGCAUAGAUAUGCCACAGAACACCGAUUGCGAAGGCAGCUUACCAAGGCAAAAUUGACGCUGAGGCACGAAAGCGUGGGGAUCGAACAGGAUUAGAUACCCGUGUAGUCCCUGUCUCUUAUAC